UAGGGAAUCUUCCGCAAUGGGCGAAAGCCUGACGGAGCAACGCCUCGUGAGUGAUGAAGGUCUUCGGAUCGUAAAACUCUGUUAUUAGGGAAGAACAAAUGUGUAAGUAACUAUGCACGUCUUGACGGUACCUAAUCAGAAAGCCACGGCUAACUACGUGCCAGCAGCCGCGGUAAUACGUAGGUGGCAAGCGUUAUCCGGAAUUAUUGGGCGUAAAGCGCGCGUAGGCGGUUUUUUAAGUCUGAUGUGAAAGCCCACGGCUCAACCAUGGAGGGUCAUUGGAAGCUGGAAAACUUGAGUGCAGAAAAGGAAAGUGGAAUUCCAUGUGUAGCGGUGAAAUGCGCAGAGCUAUGGAGGAACACCAGUGGCGAAGGCGACUUUCUGGUCUGUAACUGACGCUGAUGUGCGAAAGCGUGGGGAUCAAACAGG
Molecule: ribosomal RNA, 429 nt
Filed under: Actinomycetes bacterium
Lineage: Bacteria; Bacillati; Actinomycetota; Actinomycetes
Description: Actinobacteria bacterium partial 16S ribosomal RNA
Rfam family: Bacterial small subunit ribosomal RNA
Source: RNAcentral